Hypanus sabinus (Atlantic stingray) is the source of this 554-nucleotide long non-coding RNA. RefSeq lists it as uncharacterized. NCBI's taxonomy places the organism in Eukaryota, Metazoa, Chordata, Chondrichthyes, Myliobatiformes, Dasyatidae. The record is from RefSeq and is a predicted model, not a curated record. The transcript is spliced from 4 exons.
GGUAAAUUUCUUAGGAGUCAGUGGCAAAGUUUCUAGGCACGUGGGUGGACACGAGGCAGACAUGAAAGGCCCGUUUGGUGAUACUGUCCAGCUUUUUCUCUGUGAUAGUCACGCUAAGCUCUAUACUUGACCCACUGCACUGGUCUGAUAAUGUGACUUCUACCCUCGGUCACUUCGCAAUGGGCCGUCCUCUCAGCUACAAGCCAGCCACUCUAUUCUUCUUCGGCAUUCCCUUGAAAUGGAUGGUGACUUUGAUUCCAAUCUGAUUUUGAGGUAAUGAGGUGAGGCAACAUUGGGAACCACAGACUCACAGGAGGUUGCUACUGGACAAGGAGCACCUGGAAACAUGGUGAAGUAAGUGCACGUCUUCCCAGCCAGUGAACAAAGUCUGACCCAGCCUGCGGUAGAAUCUGUUGAUCCUACAUUGGUUUUGUCAAUCCACUUGGAACCCACAGAACUGGAGUGGAACUAAGUCAUUUUCAACUUUCAGGGAAUUCCUAAGGGGAAAAUACCUGAACAGUAUUUAGGAAUGGGUUGAUAAAAAGCAAGUGACA